GACCGCGUAGCUCAGUUGGCAGAGCAUUGGAAUUUGGGCUAGUAUUCCAAAGGUCGUAGGUUCGAUUCCCACCGUGGUCA
Paramuricea clavata is the source of this 80-nucleotide non-coding RNA. Lineage: Eukaryota; Metazoa; Cnidaria; Anthozoa; Malacalcyonacea; Plexauridae. The record is from the annotation of a GenBank genome assembly.